RNAcentral lists this long non-coding RNA (579 nucleotides) under Chrysolophus pictus (golden pheasant). Its description in RNAcentral is "lncRNA (ENSCPIG00010006907.1)". The record is from RNAcentral. Lineage: Eukaryota; Metazoa; Chordata; Aves; Galliformes; Phasianidae.
CAAGCUCACAGCAAGACAUCAGCUCUGAGGGUGAAGGAUGUUGCGUCAGGGCAGCGUGUGACAAAAUCCAGCAGCAGUGUUUCACAGAAGUGCAGCAGGUGCCUCCCUGUUGGUUGUGACUCACUCGGGUUCAUACAGGCAGUGGGAGCCCAGCCCUUGGAAGAUUCUGUACAAAGUGAAGAAGCCCAGAGGCAGCCCAGGAGCGAUACUUUUUAAGGUGUUUUCCAUCAGUCCACAGGUGGUGGCUACACGGACAGGGGAUAAUGCUGGUACCUGCAACAGGAUGAAUGAAGUCAGAGGGAGUAUAAGUCCAUUUUCAUUUGAUCAUAGUUUCCUCUUUUUUUCAAUCUUAGCUGUCAAAGAGGCAAUCUUUUCCUUGUAAAGUGGAAGGAAGAUCUAAGCAAUACAAGACCUAUCUUCAAAAAUACAUACCAAGUGUCUUGAUGUUUGUUUUAAAGUAUAUUUAAACUUUGCAAGAAAAAAAAAAAACAAAACAACAACUUUCUGCUUUGAGGGUCUUCCCAUUCAAAAGACAAGCCAUCUACGAAGUCCUAACUGAAGCUAAUACUGUAAUUACAC